Macaca mulatta (Rhesus monkey) is the source of this 8445-nucleotide non-coding RNA. NCBI's taxonomy places the organism in Eukaryota, Metazoa, Chordata, Mammalia, Primates, Cercopithecidae. The record is from RefSeq and is a predicted model, not a curated record.
ACCAUGUUGCCUAGACUGGUCUCAAACUUGGGUCUUGUUUUAUUAUUCAUUUAGCUAGUCUAUAGCUUUUAAUUAUGGAAUUUAAUCCAUUUACAUUCAAGAUCAUUAUUGAUAGGUGAAGACUUAUCCUUUUGUUAAUUAUUUUCUGGCUGUUUUGAUGUUGUUUGUUUUUUUUUCCUCUCUCAUUUUUUUAUCAUUGUGGUUUGGUGUUUUUCAAAAUUGUAGUUAGUGUGUUUUUAUUUCUGGAUAUAGAACUCCUUUAAGGAUUUCUCAUAAGGCCCAUCAAGUUAUCACACAUUCCCUCAGUUCUUGCUUGUCUGGAAAGGGCUAUUUCUCCUUCAUUUUUGAAGAAUAGCUUUGCUGAAUACAGUACUCUUAGCUGGCAGUUUUGUUCUUUCAGUACUUUGAGCAGAUCAUCCCAUUCUCUUCUGGCCUUUAAGAUUUCUGCUGAAACCUUAUAUGUGUAUUCUUUUAUAUGUGACUUGGGGAAAUCUAUUUGUUUUUUUUUUUCUGUUUGGGAUUUUCUUAUAUGUGACAUGAUGCUUUUCUUUUGCUAUAUUAAGAAUUCUCUCUGUGCUUUUAACUUGUGGCAGUUUUACUAUAAUGUCCCUUGGAGAGGACCUAUUUGGCUUGAAUCUGUUUGGGAACUUUUGAGCUUCCUGGAUCUGGAUGUCCAUAUUUUUCCCAAGACUUGGUUUUGACAGUUUGACUAUGAAGUACUUUGCAGAAGACCUUUUGGGGUUGAAUCUAUUUGAGGAUAUUUGAGAUUCUUGUAUUUGGAUAUCUAUAUCUCUUCAAGACCUGACAACUUAGUGCCCUAAAGAAGAAGAAAGAUAAUGGUUCGCAAUCAAUGCUCAUGGACCAGACACCUAAUCUGAACUUAACCAAAAAGUCAAUAUUUAGCUGUACCUUAUCAGCGUGGAAAUGUCAAGCAUAGCAGAGGCACGAACAAAUUUCGAAGUGAUUUCUCUUUUUUUUAUGUUUCCGUGUUCACAGCUAUGUGGAAGCAUUUCAACAUCAGAUAAGACAAAACGGCCUUUGGGAGAAAAAAAAAGACAGCAAAUUACAAUACUUGCACUUGCCGAAACCACAGUUUAUGAGAGGAAAGCAGACGCUGAAGAUGCAUUCUAUUCUCUCCUAGCCCAUUCCCUGGGUCACCUUCCUGCCUGUGUGAUGCUAGCCCUUAAUUGUUACCCACAGCUGGCAGCCUUUAAGAGACAGAUAUGGUGAAAUGUCUCCUUGCUGAGUAAAGUCAUAAUUUGUUGCCACCCAACAUAAUUGACACAAAUCAUUUGCAUUCUAAAUUUCCAUGCCUAGGAGUAGAUAUAUCAAGCAUGACUAGAAGGACUGUGGGUCUGCGAAACAGGAGCUUCACCUGGAUUUCCUGGAAGUUAUGGCCAGUUAAUGUAGAGAAAGAGGUUUUCAAAAUUGCAAGAAUUUCAGGACCUUUGUCAGAAUUCCACCUCACUCCACAGGACUCCAGCUAACCUCACCCACAUAACUGGUGUUGAAAGUUUUAUUUUGUUAGAAAAUAGUGUUACACUGGAAAAACCUAUGCUGGUACUCACAUUUAAUGGGAUGGUUGGACUGUCUGUCAGCAAUGAAACAUUUGGUUAUGGAAAAAAGGAGACAACACAAGAAAGACAGUGAGGAUAAAAUUGAGAAGAAGAGGUUUCUCUUUCUCUCCCUUUACCUGCCCUGACAAACUCAAGCUUUCUUCUCUGCAAUGGGAACCUGCGUGGAAGCUUUUGUGUUUCCUUAGUCCUGAACUUCAGUCACUUUUUAAAUGAUGAAGUUGGGUACAGGUUGAAGUUUAUGUCUGGAGAAAUUAACUCCCCACUAUUUCUGGCCUACCUGGAUAUGGGCAGCACAUGCUCUUCAGGCAGAGGAAGUCCAGAGUCAAAGAGACACAAAUGCUUGAGUUUCAACAAUGUCCUUGGAGAGGGCCAGAAAAGGGCAAGAGGAAUUGGAAGCCACAUGGUAUCUGACAAGGCUUGUUCAUUAUCACAGCUUGGCCUCAGCUGAAAGAAAAGUUCUCUUGCUUGUGCUUUAACAUGGUUGAUCUGGGCAGGUCUGGAGGAGCUCUGGAAGUCUGUAAAGGAGGCUUGAAGAAUCAGCCCAGUGUUUUAAACAAUUUAAGAGCUUCUCCUCCUCUGUUGUGCUGUGUCAACCACCAAGUUGUGCCAGCUGAGAAUUGUGGUCUCAGGUCUCCAUCCAGAUCUUUGGUUGUGUGGCCACAUGGAUUCAGGCAGCUGAACACGAGCAUGGAGGCACAGGCUUUCCCUCUAAGGGUCUCAGGAAGACCACCAAACAUCAGAGGAAACCGAGGCUGAGGUCUACAUGCAACAGUCUUUGAAGAGCACGAGAACACACUGAGACCAGCAGAAAGUCCAGAUGCUACCAUGAAUUUCUUCAGACCAUCAGCAACUAGUCAUUAUAACCUUUGGGGAGAUACAGCGCUUCACCGGUGAGUCAUUAGCUUUUGGGCCUAGAGAACAAAUCUGAAGGACCUUUUCAUAUCUUAUAAUUAAAUACAUUCUGCAGCUUGCAGAUAAACAUGCUGAUCUGACAGCGAGUUAAGGAGGUUUAUCAGCAUUUGUGCACCUGCAGCGUUACACUAAAAGACAUGACUUCAUUAAAACUCACCGUGCUUGUGAGAACAAUGAGGACUGGUGGUAGGUGUUAAAAAGAAAGACACUACUAGAUGGCGGCUUUAAGCUCAUCUUUGAAGGGAUGAACUCAUUCUAUCCGACAUGUCCAGCUGUGCAAACAGCAGCACCAAGUGAGCUGCAGUUAGCUGUACUAAUACAUAGGAUUAGAACAGAGGCUGGGCCACAUACAAAUGAUGUGAAUGCUUAAUAUACUUGAACACUAUGAAUGCUGCACAGAGGGGGAAUAAGAGCCCCAGAAGUGACAGAGGAUAUUUUGCUAACUGUCAUAAAAAAGAUAGUAUGUUAGGGCCUUCUAGGAACAUUUCUCUUGCUGGUGACUUUUGCCUUUUGAGGCCAAUGUUUUCUUAGAUGAAAAAACAAUACAAAACAUCGAUCUCUCAAAAAACUCCACAGGGAAAUAACAAGGGUUGCCACAGUUACCAUUGUUCUCUCAUAAAAUCCCAGAAUGAGAAAACCAUGGGGGGUGUGUGUGUGUGUGUGUAUGCAUCUGUGUGUGUAUGUAAAUGUGUAUUUGGGCUUCAUCUGCGAUAGCAUCUCAAGCUACAAAAUAGGUGAAUGGGUGGUCUAGGUGGGCAUUAGCAGUGAGAGACAAAGAGUCUGGGCAACAGGGAUUCAGUGAUUAGGCUUGAAGGCCCAGUCAUGAAGGUAUUAGAAAGUGGGUCAAAGGAAGCACAACUCAGGUUCUAGAAACCUUGGCAACUUCUAGGAUAGAAGCAACACAGGCCUAGGAGCAACACAGACCUUGAUACUGAUGCUAAUCUCCUCUGAGGAAGUGUUAAUGGGAGUGGAUUCUUUAUAUGAUUCCUGUCCUUAGUGAGAGCUGUGGGUAGACUGAGUAGAGCUGAACCAAGCUCCUUCAUGGGCAGAUGAAAAGGAGGUUGCAGUGGGAGGAAAACCAGCAAGUCCUGAACAUUUGGAGACCCAUCCCUAACCCUCACAGCACUGCUGUAAAAACUGAAGAAUGAAGGAUUUCAUAACAUCUUCUUCCUUAUUUCCCUAAGAUUUGAAAAUGCUAGUUAUUCUUGAAAGUUUUCUGAGUAGUGCAAAACAUAUAUAGGUUGGUUUCUCUACUAGUAUUAGGAGCUGAAUAUCAUAAGUUCCUAUGUUCCAGGACCUUAAAUGAAUGGAUCUCUUCGGGAGGUGUCCUGAAACAUUAUUCUACCACAUUUGGCUCAUGCAGUCAGAAGAGCCUUUAAUAUAAUAUACGUAAGUGAUCCCAGGAGACCAGGAGUACUUCUGACAAUGUCGUUGCAGUCCAUAAUUAUGCUUUUCCUUAUUUUAGUCAUGUUUCAUGAAACUUAUACUAUCUCUUUGUCCUUUGCCAGAAUGUAUGGCAAGAGCUGAAACAAUCUGUUUUUUAAGAAAGUUUACUUAGGUAAGAUGUGAUCAUGAGUCAGAGCCAGAGAUGAAGUAAAAGACAUAACUCCAUGUUGUAAAUAAUCACAGUAUUAGUUCACAGAGGUCUUUUUGGAAACAUGAGUAAAUUAUCUUGUGUAACAACAUAUUUGCAUAUUUAGCAUCUCUAGAUAAACUAUAAACUCCUUUAAGAAUGUUAUUUGCUUCUUUUAUAUCUCCUAUCAGUGUAACACAAUGCUCAAUGUGGUAAAUGUUCACAUUCAGUUACAACUGGUAAAUGUAAAUGAGAAACACACAUAACUAACACAUUAUAUAAAUAUGCUCAUGAAUUUAUCUAAAUCAUAUCACACUUAGUCAACUCCUUUGGCAAUAUAUCUAGACCUGCCUAUUUCAUGCGUUGCAAGCAAUAGAGGUCAGGAAUUAUUGGCACGGUGGUCAAUAAGUUACUGAAGUUAAUCUUCAUUUAAUGAAUCAUCAGCAAGGGAGCUACACAGAUGACAAGUGUUCAAUUUUCAGAAAUCUCUUGCCCAAUCUGUCUCUCUUCCUUCUGUCUUCCUAAUUAUUGAUUUGAUGUAUGAGCCCCUCCUCCCAAUCCUUCAGCCAGCACCCUUGAGAGUUCAGCCUUUUAAAGAUGUUCUCAUUAGAGUCAAUAAUUCACCAUGGCAUAUUAUAUAGUACCCUGAAUAUCUAUAAAGCCGUUCUUUCAUGUUGUACAUCCUGGGGUGCUCAAAUAAUUAAUUUCUCUAGCUAUAAAGAACAAUACCUUCUAUUGUGAGUGGUAAAAUGUACUAUACACUGAACCGAUUGUAUGGACAUGGCUUGGAGACAAGCUCUGCUGGAGAGUUUCUCAAGAGGAUUUUAAUGUUGAAGACAGGUAGUUCUGUUCUUGGGCUGAUAUGAAAUCAUAAAAUAAAGUGUAAAUGUUCUUUGGAAUUAAUCAAUUACCAAUUGGUCCAAAUACUUUCUUUGGGCAUUUUUUUUCUUUCCUCUAAUUUUUAAGAGUAAAAGAACUCUUAAAAAUAGUUUAUUUAGUAUAAUUGAAAACUCUUGCUUGGCAUAAAGCGUUCCAAAGACAUAAUACCAAGACCCAGGAGAAAAUGCCAGUGUCUGUCUCUCACAUUGAUUCAGAACUGUUUAGAUUUUAAAACAGGUAUUUGUAUGAAUGCUAAAGACUUUUUGUUAAUUAAUGUUAAUGAAGGCCAGUCAUAUCCCAAUUUAGCUACCUAAAGAGGGGAAUAACAAUAUGCACAUUAACAUUUUAAUUACUGCUAAGUAAAAUAAAGACUUCAAUUUAGUUUGUGGCAAAUCAGUAACAAUUUAGAUACAUUUAAAAUUACCUUUUAAACUUUUGUAGUAUAAUUAAGAGUCAGGGGUCUCAGAUUCAAAUACCAGCUCUGCCAAAGACUAACUAGGUGGCCUUGAGUUAAGUCAUUUCAGUUAAUCUGGCCUUGGUUUCCUCAGUCCUAUAAAAUAGAUUAGUUCCUUCCAGUUCUAGUACUCUAUGUUUCUUUCUAUGAUCAUCACUUAGACCUCCAAUGAAUAAAUCACUCACUCCACUGGAAUAUAAACAUUAAGUAGCCAUCUUUUUUUUUUUCCUUGAAUAAAUCCUGGGCAAAAGGUAUUUAUGGGAGCAAAGAAAUGAGUGAAUUAUUGCCAAAACGUGUAUGUUCCCUUAGAUGGAAGAGUUCCUGGGAUGAAAUUUUUGUUUUAUAGGAGACUGGCUUAGGAAACCCAAGACAGAAUGUAUAUCUAUUCAUCUCUAGGUCAUAGUGUGAAAACUUCCAUCAGAAAUCUGGGAGCAGUUCUUAAGUCAAAAAACAGACCUGGAAUCACAGUAUCCAUACAUAACAGUUGGAGGACAAAAGACAUUGCCCCAGAGACCAGAGGCACCAAAAUAUGCUACACCUAGCUACCUGAGAAUGCCUCUGGCUGGCAGCUCCAGCAAAGGCCCUUUUCCCCAUCCUUGGCCAUCAUGAGUGAAAGCAAAGAACUGAAAGACUGAAAAAUCUGAGACUGAGCGUUCCUUCCUAGAGAGACUAGUACCAUAUCAACCAGAUUGGAUAUGUGUUUAUUUUUCUUUUCUGCCAUUCAGCACGUGGCAAAGACCCAGUUAGUUAUAAACAAAAUGAAAGAGGUUGUAUUUCUAAAAUUUUGCACGUCUAAGUUGUAGUAUGUAUUAAGUUUGUAUCCUUGUUAUAUGUGAUUCCCUGCUGUGGCCCAGCAGAUAAUAUAAACACUGUAUUUUAUAGACCCCAAAUUUAAUACUGGAAUCUUAAGCAAAGAAACAGUCUUUCUCACACAUUUUUUCAUAUUUGUCACUAAAAAUCCUUUGUCUCCAGGAAUAUCAAUCUGGGUACUGUUCCUAAGAACCCAAUUGGUACAACUUUUUGGAGUUAAUAAAAUUGUGUUCCCACUGGUUUCCAUUGCUGUUUUGUGCACAAUUCCCCACUGAGUAUUUGAUGAAUUUCUACUCCUUGGGGGCCCCAUUUUUUGUGUGAGUAUGCUGAGGAUCCAUGCGUCUUGUCACAGGGAGGAAGAUGAUUUCCUCUGAUAACAUUCCCCUGGUACCUGAGGAGCUUAUCACAGCCCUUUAUUUGUCUGUUUCUGUUAUGUUGGCAUGCGUCCAGAGCAAUGGGAAAGAAAAGGUUGUGCUUUUACAGGGAACAUUUUAUUCCCUCUUGGGAAAAGUGAACAUGACUCAAUGUCAGGAAGGGAAAUUUUUCAUACAGAUAAAGAGAAUGAACAUCCGCCUACCUCUUUUAAUAGUUAAAACACAUUUACAGUCCUUUUGUAUUUUGUUUUCUUGAAGAGCUCAAAUUAUUUUAGAAAAUCUGAUUUCUUGAAACCAGACCUGCCCCAGCUUGUUUUGUGUGUGAAGAGGGACUAUUUUUCAUUUCUCAAAAGACCUGUGUGGUGAGGGGGGGCCAAGAUGGUGAGGUCAGGUUGGAUAUGGGUAGGUGGGGGAAGAUUUCUGAAAUAAACAACCAAAAGCUGGGUGCAAGCUGAACUUUCUCCCUAAUGAGAGAAACCAAGAGGGUAAUUAAAAUUAUUAAAGAUAGAUCGGGUAAGGCAUUUGAACUUAUCAAUAGGUUUUAAUGUAUUGGAUUGCUAUUAAAUAGUCACAAAAACUGCAUCCUGAUUUUGAAGGUGGUGGAUAUUGGAAGGGACUUGGGCAAAUCCAAGCCUCAGUUUACCUUUGUAAAUUUAUCAUUUGUCAUUUAUUUGAAAAUCUCAACUCCUUAAUAGAACUGUAAAUCUCCAGAGAGCAUAGAGUCUGUGUUUCCUUUUAUUAAAAAAUGACUUCUUGUUCUACUUCUCAGAGUACCCAGCUUAGCUCUGAGUAUGUGCUCAGUAAUGUUGUAGGUGUCUCAAUAUGUGUAUUUUAAAUUGACUGCUGUAUUAUCUAAAGAUAGAGACUCACUGGCUCUAAUUCAGCAGUUCCUAUGGGCACCAGUGAGACACCUACCCACUGGAUUAAGGACAGUAUAAUAUUUUGCUUUAACUUCUCUGUAAUGAAAAUGUGUGUUUGCUGAUGAUCAAGACAGAGAAAAUUUUUUUGUUCCUUGUUUUCUCCAGACUCUAGUUUUUGUGUUAGUCCAGAAUCAAGGAUGCCUCUUGUUGCAGAGACUACUACUCGACCUCCAAUAUCUACUUUUUACAUCUGCCUUCCUUAGUAAUUCAGCUCCCCCCGAUUUUUUUUCCCAGGGCUCAUGCUAACCUGGAAUACAUAUUAUACUCCCCAGCCUCCCUUACAGUUAGAUGUGGCUACACGACUCAGUUCUGGCCAAUGGAGUGUAUGUGGAAAUGCAACUUUUGCAUAUAGGAUACUUUCCUUUAUGGAAAGGGGAAAGCCGUUCUUCUCUUCUUUCUUCCACCUGGCUGCCUGGAGUGUGGAUGUAGUGGCUGGAGCUCCCAGGUCUAUAAAGGACCAUGUUCUUCGGUAGGGAAGCUGUGCAUACAGAACAAGACAGAAGAAGCUUUACAUUUUGAUACCGUGGAGCUUCCAUAUAACCAGCCUCUGAACUGCUCACCUCUUGAAUUCCAUCUGAGGAAGGAAUAAGCAACUGUAUUGUUUAAUUAAGUUUUCUUUUGGCUUUUAAUUGUAGUGAGAAUCUAAUUUGAACUAAUAUGGUCCCCUGAGCCAAUAAUCUGUAUUCUGUUAUCAACUGCAAUUCUGUUGUUUAAAACUUUUUUAUAAAACAGAUAAGUUCCUGAACUUUUUUUUGUAAGUUUGAAGAUAUUUUAAAUAUAAUAAUAAGGGUUACACUUUAAAGAAACCAUAUAGCAAAUUCUUUUAUAAAGGAUUUACAUUUUUUUAUUACAAAAAUGUUUUAAGUGCCAAAUCCUGGAAUGGGGACAAAAAAAGACAUUAGUGGAAGUAUUGAUGAGACCUAAAUAAAGUCUGUAGUCUGGUUAA